Molecule: ribosomal RNA, 401 nt
Filed under: uncultured bacterium
Lineage: Bacteria
Description: bacterial SSU rRNA
Rfam family: Bacterial small subunit ribosomal RNA
Source: RNAcentral
GGGGAAUCUUGGACAAUGGGGGCAACCCUGAUCCAGCGAUGCCGCGUGAGCGAAGAAGGCCUUAGGGUUGUAAAGCUCUUUCGCCCGCGACGAUGAUGACGGUAGCGGGAGAAGAAGCCCCGGCUAACUCCGUGCCAGCAGCCGCGGUAAUACGGAGGGGGCUAGCGUUGUCCGGAAUUACUGGGCGUAAAGCGCGCGUAGGCGGUCCACCAAGUCGGGGGUGAAAGCCCGGGGCUCAACCCCGGAAUGUCCUCCGAGACUGUUGGCCUGGAGUUCGGGAGAGGAGAGCGGAAUUCCCAGUGUAGAGGUGAAAUUCGUAGAUAUUGGGAAGAACACCGGUGGCGAAGGCGGCUCUCUGGCCCGCAACUGACGCUGAGGCGCGAAAGCGUGGGGAGCAAACA